RNAcentral lists this ribosomal RNA (712 nucleotides) under uncultured bacterium. RNAcentral describes it as "bacterial SSU rRNA". It matches the Rfam family "Bacterial small subunit ribosomal RNA", at positions 37 to 744 of the family's 1533-position model. The record is from RNAcentral.
UAGCGGGAAGGCUUAACACAUGCAAGUCGAGGGGCAUCACGAGGUANCAAUACUUUGGUGGCGACCGGCGCACGGGUGAGUAACGCGUAUGCAACCUACCCUGUACAGGGGGAUAGCCCGGAGAAAUUCGGAUUAAUACCCCAUAAAGAUAUCGAGAGGCAUCUUUUGAUAUUUAAAGUUUCGACGGUACGGGAUGGGCAUGCGUAACAUUAGCUAGUUGGUAGGGUAACGGCCUACCAAGGCGACGAUGUUUAGGGGUCCUGAGAGGGUGAUCCCCCACACUGGUACUGAGACACGGACCAGACUCCUACGGGAGGCAGCAGUGAGGAAUAUUGGUCAAUGGGCGUAAGCCUGAACCAGCCAUCCCGCGUGAAGGAAGACGGCGCUAUGCGUUGUAAACUUCUUUUCCAGAGGAAUAAAAUUUUGUACGAGUACGGAACUGAAGGUACUCUGGGAAUAAGCAUCGGCUAACUCCGUGCCAGCAGCCGCGGUAAUACGGAGGAUGCGAGCGUUAUCCGGAUUUAUUGGGUUUAAAGGGUGCGUAGGCGGAUUAAUAAGUCAGUGGUGAAAACCUUNCAGCUUAACUGGAGAACUGCCAUUGAUACUGUUANUCUUGAGUACGGUCAAGGUAGGCGGAAUGUGUAAUGUANCGGUGAAAUGCUNAAUAUUANCAAAACACGAUNGCNANGNAGCUUACUGGGCCAUUACUGAC